CAGUCGCCACGGGAAUACGAAGGGUGCAAGCGUUAAUCGGAAUUACUGGGUUUAAAGGGUGCGUAGGCGGGCAGGUAAGUCAGUGGUGAAAUCUUCGAGCUUAACUCGGAAACUGCCGUUGAUACUAUCUGUCUUGAAUAACGUUGAGGUGAGCGGAAUAUGUCAUGUAGCGGUGAAAUGCUUAGAUAUGACAUAGAACACCGAUUGCGAAGGCAGCUCACUAAACGCUCAUUGACGCUGAGGCACGAAAGCGUGGGGAUCAAACAGGAUUAGAUACCCCCGUAGUCCCUGUCUCUUAUAU
RNAcentral lists this ribosomal RNA (301 nucleotides) under uncultured bacterium. Its description in RNAcentral is "partial 16S ribosomal RNA". It matches the Rfam family "Bacterial small subunit ribosomal RNA", at positions 509 to 809 of the family's 1533-position model. The record is from RNAcentral.